Molecule: ribosomal RNA, 813 nt
Filed under: Microsporum canis
Lineage: Eukaryota; Fungi; Ascomycota; Eurotiomycetes; Onygenales; Arthrodermataceae
Description: eukaryotic LSU rRNA
Rfam family: Eukaryotic large subunit ribosomal RNA
Source: RNAcentral
AACGGCGAGUGAAGCGGCAAGAGCUCAAAUUUGAAAUCUGGCCUCCCUUGGGGGGUACGAGUUGUAAUUUGUAGAGGAUGCUUCGGGUGUGGCCGCCGUCUAAGUUCCUUGGAACAGGACGUCGUAGAGGGUGAGAAUCCCGUCUUGGGCGGCCGGUCCGCGCCCGUGUGAAGCUCCUUCGACGAGUCGAGUUGUUUGGGAAUGCAGCUCUAAGCGGGUGGUAAAUUUCAUCUAAAGCUAAAUACUGGCCGGAGACCGAUAGCGCACAAGUAGAGUGAUCGAAAGGUUAAAAGCACCUUGAAAAGGGAGUUAAACAGCACGUGAAAUUGUUGAAAGGGAAGCGCUUGCGGCCAGACUCGAGGGGCGGGGUUCAGCGGGUGCGCGUCACCCGUGCACUCCCCGUCCCCCCGGGCCAGCAUCAGUUUCGACGGCCGGUCAAAGGCCCCCGGAAUGUGUCGUCUCUAGGGACGUCUUAUAGCCGGGGGUGCAAUGCGGCCCGCCGGGACUGAGGAACGCGCUCCGGCUCGGAUGCUGGCGUAAUGGCCGUAAGCGGCCCGUCUUGAAACACGGACCAAGGAGUCUAACAUCCACGCGAGUGUUCGGGUGUCAAACCCGUGCGCGCAGUGAAAGCGAACGGAGGUGGGAGCCCUAGGGCGCACCAUCGACCGAUCCUGAAGUCUUCGGAUGGAUUUGAGUAGGAGCGUGGCCGUUGGGACCCGAAAGAUGGUGAACUAUGCCUGAAUAGGGUGAAGCCAGAGGAAACUCUGGUGGAGGCUCGCAGCGGUUCUGACGUGCAAAUCGAUCGUCAAAUUU